CCUCUCUGGCCAAGUAUCAAAUAGACUUGAACUAUUCAGAGUUGAUUUUAUUGUUCUGAGUCAAUCUCAAGUUUGAAGUUGUUCUUUCUGUUAAGAGAAAACAAUGUCUGCAUUAUAAAAAAGUUAUAAAUUCCUAAAUGACUGGGUAAAUGAAAUGUAGAAUGCAAGAGUCAAUGGCAAUAAAUUUGUUUUUUUUCCUCAUUGACUGUGCUUCAUAUUGUUCAAAAUGGACACAUUCGCGCUGAUAAAGCGUUAUUCCGUGGUGAUGCACCUUAAUGAUUGCAUCUCUGUGUUAGAAGCACAGAGACCAAUAAUGAAGGCAAUAGAGAUGAUUUAGCGUCUUUCAUGGGCAUGAGCUCUGUGCUUGCCUCUGAAUAGUAGGAGGAUGGAGAUUAAUGAUGGAUGUUCCUGCCAUUUCAGCUUCUGCCGUGCUCACUUGUCACACCGCCCCUGUGUCAGGAAGGAAACUAAGAAUGGACGCACUGGAGCUGAUUGAAACAUCUUGCAUGGUCACGAGCUCUCUGGUUUCAUCUGUGCUGUAGGAGUAUGAAGACCAUAAUGGAAACACUUGAGCUGAUUUAAGCAGUGUACCGUGAUGGUGACCUCUGUGAUUGCAUCUCUGUGUUAGGAGAACAGACACCUAACACAGACACCUAAUAAUCGUUGCAAUGGGCUGACUUAAGUGUUCCGCCGACGUCACGAAUCCUGUGCUUUCAUCUAUGUGUUAAGAGCUUGGAGAGCAAAAACAGAUGCUGGAGAUGACUUCAGCUCCUGUUGUCAUCAAGAUCGUCUGCUGCUUCCUUGUGUGGAAAGAGACCAAGGUGAGUAAUGGUCCACACUGUUGUCUUGGAUUGGGUCAUGUGUUUAAGGGUAUUUACAAUAUUAUUAAAAAGUAUUAAAUUCAUUAAAAUAUUCCUAAUGAUAAAUAGGAUAUGAAACAUUAUGUUGAUUAAUCAAUAAUGUGCAGGAUUGAGGUCUAUUAAUGAAAAAGGUAUAGUCUGUGUGGAAAAUGAUUCUGUAAACCAGUGUUAGGAAUCUUGUCCUAGAGUUUUUAUGAACCAUGUAUUAUUUUUAUUCUUAUCAAUGAAUUCAUAAUU
Globicephala melas (long-finned pilot whale) is the source of this 1097-nucleotide long non-coding RNA. RefSeq lists it as uncharacterized. NCBI's taxonomy places the organism in Eukaryota, Metazoa, Chordata, Mammalia, Artiodactyla, Delphinidae. The record is from RefSeq and is a predicted model, not a curated record.